UACGUAGGGCGCAAGCGUUAUCCGGAAUUAUUGGGCGUAAAGAGCUCGUAGGCGGUUUGUCGCGUCUGCCGUGAAAGUCCGGGGCUUAACCCCGGAUCUGCGGUGGGUACGGGCAGACUAGAGUGGAGUAGGGGAGACUGGAAUUCCUGGUGUAGCGGUGAAAUGCGCAGAUAUCAGGAGGAACACCGAUGGCGAAGGCAGGUCUCUGGGCUGUAACUGACGCUGAGGAGCGAAAGCAUGGGGAGCGAACAGG
RNAcentral lists this ribosomal RNA (253 nucleotides) under uncultured bacterium. RNAcentral describes it as "partial 16S ribosomal RNA". It matches the Rfam family "Bacterial small subunit ribosomal RNA", at positions 524 to 776 of the family's 1533-position model. The record is from RNAcentral.